Lynx canadensis (Canada lynx) is the source of this 979-nucleotide long non-coding RNA. RefSeq lists it as uncharacterized. The record is from RefSeq and is a predicted model, not a curated record. NCBI's taxonomy places the organism in Eukaryota, Metazoa, Chordata, Mammalia, Carnivora, Felidae. The transcript has 3 exons.
AGCGAGGAAAGAGGGAGAGAAUGAAGAGGACAGGGAGAGCGCAGAGAGGAAAACUGCAGAAAACCACAGGGAAAAAGAACUCCAAGAUUAAAAGCAUCCUCCUUAUUUGUUGCCGAGUUGCUCGUCGACAUGUAAGAAAAGGAUUCCCUCCAAGUCUGACAGGAAAGACAGGGCCACUUCUGGAUGAGCUGUAAGGAUGCGUUUUCACUUCCACAACAUUGAAGCACUUUUUAUAAACCUUGUAUUGUACUUAAAUAAAUCUAUCUGGACAUUAAGAGAAGUGACUCAUACAACGAUAGCUUGGCUUUGUGCUGUCAAUCCUAGCAUUAAAAAAAAAAAAAAUCCAGAAUCCUCCUGAGAAGCUUUUCCAUAUCCACUCAUUUCUCAAAACAAACAAACAAACAAACAAACAAGUAAAAACAAGAAAAACUAGAAAAGCAAAAGAAAGUUUACUGUAUGCAUCUGGGUGUCUUCUCGCGCAUUUAUAAAUGUCUCCCAGCCCCGCUUGCUGUGUUGCCUCCCUCCUGCCACACACUCCAAGGCAGAGGCAUCGAGGGAUCGCCCCCAGAGAGUUGUGUUUACUUAGGUUUUUUUAAUCUCUCCACCAUGUAUGACAAGUGUUACUUCAAGAAAUUCAUCAGCCUUCUACAGAUACUUCCAGGUUUUGCUGUAAUGAUCUGCAGAAGAGAACUGCCAUCACUUUCUCACAUCCCAAGGUGUUGCAGGAACUCAGAGAAAGGGGAGAGUGGCUGAAACGCUUAAUUACAGUGGGGGAGGGAGGAGCGCAAGGCGGGGACGGAGGGAGGAGGGAAAGGAGGAAGAUCCUUUACCUAGCCUGUACCUGGAGAGAGCUCUGAAUCCUCUCAGUGGAAAUUUGGGAAAGGUAUUGUUGCCUUUUUUUUUUUUUUUAAUGCCUUUGGGGAGAAGUGAUACCCUUGUGUAACAAUUAGCUCAGACAAUAAAAAUAAUUGGAAAAUCA